CUCGUAGGUGGCCAACUAAGUCAGACGUGAAAUCCCCAGGCUCAACCUGGGAACUGCGUCUGAUACUGGAUGGCUUGAAUUCGGGAGAGGGAUGCAGAAUUCCAGGUGUAGCGGUGAAAUGCGUAGAUAUCUGGAGGAAUACCGGUGGCGAAGGCGGCAUCCUGGACCGAGAUUGACACUGAUGAGCGAAAGCUAGGGAGCAAAC
This 205-nucleotide ribosomal RNA is filed under the name uncultured bacterium. Its description in RNAcentral is "partial 16S ribosomal RNA". It matches the Rfam family "Bacterial small subunit ribosomal RNA", at positions 568 to 773 of the family's 1533-position model. The record is from RNAcentral.